Molecule: transfer RNA, 62 nt
Filed under: Planorbella duryi
Lineage: Eukaryota; Metazoa; Mollusca; Gastropoda; Planorbidae
Also listed under: 1 other name
Description: tRNA-Tyr
Source: RNAcentral
UUUUUUGAAAGCAUUAUUGCAAUUGAUUGUAAAUCUUUAUUUGGAAAAUUUCCUCAAGAUAU